RNAcentral lists this ribosomal RNA (492 nucleotides) under uncultured bacterium. Its description in RNAcentral is "partial 16S ribosomal RNA". It matches the Rfam family "Bacterial small subunit ribosomal RNA", at positions 29 to 507 of the family's 1533-position model. The record is from RNAcentral.
AGUGAACGCUGGCGGUAGGCCUAACACAUGCAAGUCGAACGGCAGCACAGUAAGAGCUUGCUCUUACGGGUGGCGAGUGGCGGACGGGUGAGGAAUACAUCGGAAUCUACUUUUUCGUGGGGGAUAACGUAGGGAAACUUACGCUAAUACCGCAUACGACCUACGGGUGAAGGCAGGGGAUCUUCGGACCUUGCGCGAUUGAAUGAGCCGAUGUCGGAUUAGCUAGUUGGCGGGGUAAAGGCCCACCAAGGCAACGAUCCGUAGCUGGUCUGAGAGGAUGAUCAGCCACACUGGAACUGAGACACGGUCCAGACUCCUACGGGAGGCAGCAGUGGGGAAUAUUGGACAAUGGGCGCAAGCCUGAUCCAGCCAUACCGCGUGGGUGAAGAAGGCCUUCGGGUUGUAAAGCCCUUUUGUUGGGAAAGAAAAGCAGCAGGUUAAUACCCCGCUGUUCUGACGGUACCCAAAGAAUAAGCACCGGCUAACUUCGUG